RNAcentral lists this ribosomal RNA (495 nucleotides) under uncultured bacterium. Its description in RNAcentral is "bacterial SSU rRNA". It matches the Rfam family "Bacterial small subunit ribosomal RNA", at positions 28 to 511 of the family's 1533-position model. The record is from RNAcentral.
GAUGAACGCUAGCGGCAGGCUUAACACAUGCAAGUCGAGGGGCAGCAUGAGACGGAGAUUCGUCGAAGUCUUGAUGGCGACCGGCGCAAGGGUGCGUAACGCGUGAGCAACUUGCCCGUUUCUGGGGAAUAACCGGUGGAAACGCCGACUAAUACCCCAUAGUAUUGACUUUGGGCAUCCUUAGUCAAUUAAAGAAUUUCGGAAACGGAUAGGCUCGCGUGACAUUAGCUGGAUGGCGGGGUAACGGCCCACCAUGGCAACGAUGUCUAGGGGUUCUGAGAGGAAGGUCCCCCACACUGGAACUGAGACACGGUCCAGACUCCUACGGGAGGCAGCAGUGAGGAAUAUUGGUCAAUGGUCUGACGACUGAACCAGCCAUGCCGCGUGAAGGUCACGGCCCUAUGGGUCUUAAACUUCUUUUGCAAGGGAGCAAUAAGGUCUACGUGUAGAUCGAUGAGAGUACCUUGCGAAUAGCAUCGGCUAACUCCGUGCCAG